Long non-coding RNA from Engraulis encrasicolus (European anchovy), 1112 nucleotides. RefSeq lists it as uncharacterized. The transcript is spliced from 5 exons. The record is from RefSeq and is a predicted model, not a curated record. Lineage: Eukaryota; Metazoa; Chordata; Actinopteri; Clupeiformes; Engraulidae.
CACUUUCCCCACAAAUAUGCUUUGUUGUACUUUUGGAUGUACUUCUCCGUAUUCUGUAAGGACCUCUGCGGUUUUGGCAAAACAACAAACCACACUUCACCUGGAAAACACAGCCAGGACUCACUGUCAGAUGUCUGAAAAUGUACAGUACACGCCAGCAGGUCUCACCAUAGUCAACAUCAUUAAGGAUUUGGCACUCUGACCUGAGAAGAGGCCCCAUAAACACACCUGACAAGGACCAGCCACUGUUGCCAGUGCACAACUGAGGACCUGACCAGCCUGCUGCCAUCUAUGAUACUAUAUAGUACCCGCGGAGCGGUCUGAAGACGUGGAGUACACUGCAGCAGGUAUCACAUGACCAAGGACUUGGACAACGUCUCUGUUUACAUCUAUAAUGUAUUACACAACUGAAGAUGUGCACAGUACGCUGCUGCCUGCAUCCUACCACCACAGAGGAUCCGAUAUGCAGAACCAGCUUCAAAAACCAUUGCAAUUAUGAAACACAGUUAAUAAAUGCUUAUAUACAGCAGCCCGCACAUUUUGUUUAAUUUGUAAUAUUGGUUAACACACUAUUGUUACAACAGUUUAGAUCGGUGUUUCCCAACCAGGGGUACAUGUACCACUAGGGGUACGUGAACACAAUGCAGGUGGUACAUGCAUUGGCAGGUAUCAAUAAAAAGAAAUGUAUGGAGCAUAAUCAUAUUGGGAUAGAGCAGUGGUUCCUAACCUAUGGGUCGGGACCCAACUUAUGGGUCGCCAAAGAUCCACAGUGGGUCGCGAAGCCCUCUUGAUUUUAAGGGGUUUCGUUUUAAUACCAUAUAGCCCAUGUUGAAUAUAUAUGACAAAGUAAAGCUUUUAAACUGAUAUAUGCAUAGAGGCAACAAAAUGUAAGCGACACAUUAAACAGUCAUUCUAUAUUUGACUGAAGACAAAUUGAGGAAUAGAAUUUUCUAAUGAGUUUCCGCAGGACUCCCUCUCGCCUGGGACUCCCUCUCGCGUGGGCGCUGGCACGAUUGGGUCACCAAAGCUUACAAUGGUAAAAAUAUGGGUCCCUGAAGAAAAAGGUUGGGAACCACUGGGAUAGAGGAAGAUAUACAGUAGACUAGAGCAUG